Molecule: ribosomal RNA, 252 nt
Filed under: uncultured bacterium
Lineage: Bacteria
Description: partial 16S ribosomal RNA
Rfam family: Bacterial small subunit ribosomal RNA
Source: RNAcentral
CACGUAGGGCGCAAGCGUUGUCCGGAAUUAUUGGGCGUAAAGAGCUCGUAGGCGGACUGUUGCGUCUGCUGUGAAAAGCUAGGGCUUAACCCUGGCCUUGCAGUGGAUACGGGCAGACUAGAGGUAGGUAGGGGAGAAUGGAAUUCCCGGUGUAGCGGUGAAAUGCGCAGAUAUCGGGAGGAACACCUGUGGCGAAAGCGGCGCACUGGACCAUAACUGACGCUGAGGCGCGAAAGCUAGGGGAGCAAACAG